Molecule: long non-coding RNA, 407 nt
Filed under: Cyanistes caeruleus (blue tit)
Lineage: Eukaryota; Metazoa; Chordata; Aves; Passeriformes; Paridae
Description: lncRNA (ENSCCEG00000003307.1)
Source: RNAcentral
GAACUGGUUUGAACUGGUCUGAACUGGUCUGAACUGGUUUGAACUGGGACUCCCCCGUUCCCCUCCCCCAGCUGGUGGCUGCGGGGGCGGCGCUGGCGGCGAUGGCCAAAGGACCCUCGGCCGGACGGGCUCGCGCCGCGCUGGCGCUGGACAUCGUGGCCGCCAUCUUGUCCUUCCUGGCCCUGGGGGUGCAGGGGCUGCUCCUCCCCCACAGCUGCCCCUGGUGCUACAACCUGAGCCCGGCCGGGCAGGGGGCGCUGUUGGGCACUCAAGUGCUGCUGAUGACGUCAUCGCUGGCCGGGGCGAUCCUGGCUGUGAUUGGCUGCGUGGCGGCCACCAGGGCGCGCCCGAGGGCGGAGCCAAUGGUGAGUGACAGCAAAGGGGGCGUGGCUUAGAGCCAUUAAUGA